UCGAAUUGUCAAGUAUAUCGAUCGAAACGGAUUCAAUAAUUAGACCCAAUAAAUACAAAAAAACUAACAUACAACAAAAAGACAAAACACAAAAAAGUGCAUUGGAGCAAAACGAAAAAAUGGGGAUGUUUAGGCAAAACUAUAGGCAUAUAUGCAAUAACCAAAACUGCAGUGACAAAACAAAAGUUACAAAGAACAAAAUAUACAAAUUUUACGAACACAAAAAACAUAAAUCGGGCGCGAAAAGUAAAAACACCUAAGCAAUAAAACAAACACCAAUCGAAACAAACGGCCGCGAUCACUAAGUCUGUUAUUACACGCGUCAACUCUUGUUGCUAAUUCUCGGGCGAUUCUCUUUUGCUGUCGCCCAUUACGUUCACACGAGCAAUUUGUGUUGCGCAGCUCCGUUCGAGUUUUUUUCUCAUUCUCUUUCAUAUCAUUUUCUCAAUUUUUUGUGCUGUACGGCUACGCUACAUUUAAUGCCUGUUGCGUUGUUAUUUGGAUAUUGAAGCGUGAGGAUGUUAAUUUACAGUGUUUAUGAAAUUUUAAAAAGUGGUGAGUUGAAUAAAUUAAUUUUUAAAUUUUCUGUUUAUUAAUAUUCGAUUAUUUUAAAUAAAUAUGGCGGAAAAAGUAAAGUGGACAAAAGCACUAAUUGAAAAAUUAAUAUAUUUGGUAGAAGCACAGGAGUAAUUAUAGCAUAAAGUCACCGUUAUAUUUGGACCGGAAUGUAAAAGCUGAAGCUUUUAACAAAAUCUGUGAGACUAAACGUGGCAAACAUAAACGUGUGUGAAAUAAAAAAAAUGGAAAAAUGUAAGAACACAAUAUUUACGAGAAAUUCGUGAAGUGCGCAAUUCACGAAAAAGCGGAGUUGGUAUAAACGAUUUGUAUUCUCUAAAGUUCUGGUGCUUCUCGCUGCUGCAAUUUUUGGAGCAGCAUACCCAAAUUAGGAGGGGGGAAUCUAACUACGAGGAAAUACUUUAUUUUAUUUUAUUACAUUAAUUCAAACAAAUAUUAUACUAUAGGAUCCAGGCGCGUCAGGAAGUCGGGAGUGUGAAAAUAAUAUAUCUCCAACAACAACCCAACCAAUUGUGGCUGAAGAGACUGUUAAUAUAGUAAAUCAUUCAUAUAUACAUAUGUGCAUAAAACAAAUAGUUUUAAGCUUUAUGCUUAUCUACAUUUAUAGACAACUGAAAUAAUGAAUGGCGAAAAAGAAAGGCAGAAGAAAACGGGAAAGCACUGCAUUGACUAAAGUGAGGCAGGAUUUGGCGGCUGUGAGAGAACAAAUCGCUGAAAGACGCAAUAGACCGUAUAGUUGGUUAGGCAAUUUGGUCUCUGCGAAAAUGGAGGAGAUAGUUCCUCACAUGCGAGAAGACGUUCAAUGCCUUAUGCGCCGUUUACUACAAAAAUCAAACAGAUAUGGUGAUUCGCAGUUACAAUCCCCUCAGAACGACUUACUUCAGAAUGCAAUAAGUGGGAUUUUUGAAGAUAAAGAUUUUGAUUUUUGACCGAUUAAUAUAUAUAAUAGAAAAGUUUGAAUUAAAUGUGACUGAAAUAAAAUUUUAAGGCUGGCUUUUUUAAAAUACAAAUAAUGUAGAUAUUUAUAUAUAUAGUUCUAAGAAAUAUUUUUAAUUUAAAUCUGAAAUGUGAUACAU
Molecule: long non-coding RNA, 1652 nt
Organism: Bactrocera neohumeralis
Lineage: Eukaryota; Metazoa; Arthropoda; Insecta; Diptera; Tephritidae
Exons: 3
Source: RefSeq, a predicted model, not a curated record